This 484-nucleotide ribosomal RNA is filed under the name uncultured bacterium. RNAcentral describes it as "partial 16S ribosomal RNA". It matches the Rfam family "Bacterial small subunit ribosomal RNA", at positions 29 to 507 of the family's 1533-position model. The record is from RNAcentral.
AUUGAACGCUGGCGGCAUGCUUUACACAUGCAAGUCGAACGGCAGCGCGGGCUUCGGCCUGGCGGCGAGUGGCGAACGGGUGAGUAAUACAUCGGAACGUGCCCAGUAGUGGGGGAUAGCUCGGCGAAAGCCGGAUUAAUACCGCAUACGACCUGAGGGUGAAAGCGGGGGAUCUUCGGACCUCGCGCUAUUGGAGCGGCCGAUGGCAGAUUAGCUAGUUGGUGGGGUAAAGGCCUACCAAGGCGACGAUCUGUAGCUGGUCUGAGAGGACGACCAGCCACACUGGGACUGAGACACGGCCCAGACUCCUACGGGAGGCAGCAGUGGGGAAUUUUGGACAAUGGGCGAAAGCCUGAUCCAGCAAUGCCGCGUGUGUGAUGAAGGCCUUCGGGUUGUAGAGCACUUUUGGCGGGAACGAAAAGGACUGUGCCAAUACCACGGUUCGAUGACGGUACCCGCAGAAUAAGCACCGGCUAACUACGUG